RNAcentral lists this ribosomal RNA (460 nucleotides) under uncultured bacterium. Its description in RNAcentral is "partial 16S ribosomal RNA". It matches the Rfam family "Bacterial small subunit ribosomal RNA", at positions 338 to 795 of the family's 1533-position model. The record is from RNAcentral.
CCUACGGGCGGCAGCAGUGAGGAAUAUUGGUCAAUGGACGAGAGUCUGAACCAGCCAAGUAGCGUGAAGGAUGACUGCCCUAUGGGUUGUAAACUUCUUUUAUAUGGGAAUAAAAUGUUCCACGUGUGGGAUUUUGUAUGUACCAUAUGAAUAAGGAUCGGCUAACUCCGUGCCAGCAGCCGCGGUAAUACGGAGGAUCCGAGCGUUAUCCGGAUUUAUUGGGUUUAAAGGGAGCGUAGGUGGAUGUUUAAGUCAGUUGUGAAAGUUUGCGGCUCAACCGUAAAAUUGCAGUUGAAACUGGCAGGCUUGAGUACAGUAGAGGUGGGCGGAAUUCGUGGUGUAGCGGUGAAAUGCUUAGAUAUCACGAAGAACUCCGAUUGCGAAGGCAGCUCACUGGACUGCAACUGACACUGAGGCUCGAAAGUGUGGGUAUCAAACAGGAUUAGAUACCCUGGUAGUC